Molecule: non-coding RNA, 21 nt
Filed under: Caenorhabditis elegans
Lineage: Eukaryota; Metazoa; Nematoda; Chromadorea; Rhabditida; Rhabditidae
Source: RNAcentral
UUUCAACCUUCCAGGAAAAAA